Molecule: RNA transcript, 939 nt
Organism: Macadamia integrifolia
Lineage: Eukaryota; Viridiplantae; Streptophyta; Magnoliopsida; Proteales; Proteaceae
Exons: 3
Source: RefSeq, a predicted model, not a curated record
CCUCAUUCCUUCACGGCUCUAGCAACGAUUCCUUCACUGCUCCACCUCUUUUAUUCUUGCGAUUCUCAUCCCCUCUCUCUCUCUCUCUCUCUCUCUCUCUCUCUCUCUAUUAGGGAUUUGAUUUAUGAAUUUUAUUUUUCAGAUUCUCACAAGUUGUUCGAUUCUUUGGGAAACAAUAAGGAUUGUAUUCAAUCUGCUUAUUCAAGUUGGGAGGGAACAACACAUGACAAUCGAAUAUUAUGGGAAGCCAUCAACAUUCCUUGUCUGAAUUUUUCCCAUCCACCACCAGGAAAAUACUAUCUGGUUGAUUCUGGUUACACACAUAGUCCUGGUUACAUGGCUCCUUUCAAGAAUGUUAGAUAUCAUCAAUAAGAUUUUAAACAAAGACAGCCACAAGGAGCAGAGGAGCUAUUUAAUUUUACAAAUUGAUCAUUAAGAACCGUUAUUGAGAGAUCAUUUGGAGUUUUGAAGAAGUGUUUCCCUAUUUUAAAGAUGAUGCCCUCAUAUAGUUUCAAGACACAAGUAUUGAUUGUGAUUGCUUGUGUGACAAUACACAACUUUAUCAGAAAUCAAUUAGCAUCAGAUUGGCUUUUUGAAAAAGCAGAGAGGGGAGAACUUGAUGAUGAAGACAGUGACAGUGACGAUGAUAGUGAUGAUGAUGAGGUUGUGAACAAUGCAAAUGUGGUAGGCCGUACGCAACAACAACAAUGGGAGGCGUAUCGAAAACAAAUUGCAAAUCAGAUUAAAGAAGCCUAUCAUAAUUGAUGUUAAGCAGAUGUGUUUAUUGUGUGCUUUAACAAUCACUGGGACCUACAAACUGGGACCUACUUUGUAUACUUUGGUUUUAUCAAUUUCUUAAAAACAAAUUUUAUAGAUGGACAACCAAUGGGAGUGUAUGCCAAAGCAUCAAUUAGGCGUGAUUUCUUGUUUUCAUUUGGG